AAAAAAAAAAAAAAAAAACUCAUCCUUGAGUUGCAAUGAACCAAAAAUACAGUGUAAACAGUUCUCAUACCAUUCUCCCCACUUAGAAUAAAUACUCCCUCAAAUUUUGAAGUGAAAGAGAAUCAAAACCUUUACUGGAAGAGUACCCCAUAUGGCUUUCUUGGAUGGAAUCAAUAAGAAGGACCUAAACAAAGUGGAUAUGAGGUGCUUCAUAUUUUCCUUUGUACUAUGAAAGUACUUGAGCAAAUAAAAUCAAUAAAAACCAUAGCAAUUAAAGAGUAAAGUCUUCAAUUCUCCAUGAUGUGAAAUUUAUCACUCUCCAAUAUUGUCUCCAUGGAUUGUUUUUCCUCAACUUCCAUUGAAAUCUCCACAACAUGAUAUUUAUAUUUCCCAGGACACAUUUCUCAAGCUUUUCAUCUUCAACCAUAGCAAAAGAAAAUUCAAUUAAAGUUUCAGGUUUCAAUUCUUUAAAUUUAGGCUCAUCCACUUUAAACUGCAUUGUUGAAUCUUGAAGCUCAUUUUUUUCUUCUUUUUGUUAUUUCACCAGCAAAAAAGGCUUUGGAUGGACCUCCUCUUGGCAAAAUUUUUGUUGAAAUAAAAUUUGCUCAUAAUCUAGAGGAAAAAAUUUUUAUUCUAACAAAUACUUCAUUAUGAACCAUGUACGGACUGACGCUUUCCCUUCUUGCUUUCUUUUAGAUUAUAGCCAUUCCCACCAAGCGGAAGUACCACCUUUCAAUCGACAAGCCACCAAUUGGACUCGUUGCUCAGGUGCUAUAUCCACAUGGUCAAAGAAUCUAUCUAUAUUCGCAAUCCAAUCUAAAAAUUCCUCUAUAUUGAGAUCCUCAUAGAAAUUAUGAAUAUUAAGAUAACCCAUGCUUCUUUUCGUUUCACCACCAUACCAUUGAUGCCUAUUGAACUUGAUUGUUUCAUAGUCAUCUUCCUCCUCUGAAUCAACAUAGUAGACAUAUUGUCUACGUGCAAAAAUUGGUUGAUAAAUAGGAUAACCACGAGCUACACCAUCUCCUGACCUUCUUUUGUCAACCCAAUUUUGGAUUGUUUUAGUUCCCAAAGCACCAAGACAAUCUAUAAUUUCUUUGAGGUGUCUCUUGAUACGCUCGAAUCUGAGAUCUAUUUAUCGCUCCGGACGUUGCUCUCAUCGUUGCAACGUUUCGUCCCUAUGGUAAAGGGCUCUAGU
This 1195-nucleotide unclassified non-coding RNA is filed under the name Hevea brasiliensis (rubber tree). The record is from RNAcentral. Lineage: Eukaryota; Viridiplantae; Streptophyta; Magnoliopsida; Malpighiales; Euphorbiaceae.